CCUACGGGAGGCAGCAGUGGGGGAUAUUGCACAAUGGGGGAAACCCUGAUGCAGCGACGCCGCGUGGGUGAAGAAGUAUUUCGGUAUGUAAAGCCCUAUCAGCAGGGAAGAAAGAAGACGGUACCUGACUAAGAAGCCCCGGCUAACUACGUGCCAGCAGCCGCGGUAAUACGUAGGGGGCGAGCGUUAUCCGGAUUCACUGGGUGUAAAGGGAGCGUAGACGGCGGUGCAAGCCAGGAGUGAAAGCCCGGGGCCCAACCCCGGGACUGCUCUUGGAACUGUGCGGCUGGAGUGCGGGAGGGGCAGGCGGAAUUCCUGGUGUAGCGGUGAAAUGCGUAGAUAUCAGGAGGAACACCGGCGGCGAAGGCGGCCUGCUGGACCGCGACUGACGUUGAGGCUCGAAAGCGUGGGGAGCGAACAGGAUUAGAUACCCUUGUAGUC
This 441-nucleotide ribosomal RNA is filed under the name uncultured bacterium. RNAcentral's name for it is "partial 16S ribosomal RNA". It matches the Rfam family "Bacterial small subunit ribosomal RNA", at positions 338 to 795 of the family's 1533-position model. The record is from RNAcentral.